Long non-coding RNA from Triticum aestivum (bread wheat), 774 nucleotides. RefSeq lists it as uncharacterized. The record is from RefSeq and is a predicted model, not a curated record. Lineage: Eukaryota; Viridiplantae; Streptophyta; Magnoliopsida; Poales; Poaceae. The transcript is spliced from 2 exons.
CGCAUCCGGCAGCCAAUUCACUCCCAUUCCUCUUAUCCUCUCCCACUAGGAACCCUAGCCGCCGCCCGUCGCCCACCGCUCUGGCCCGACGCCCCAUGCCCAUGAGAUGUGAGCCGGUGAUGGCCGCCGCAUCGAGGCGUGCGGCGUGCCCAUGCCGACAAAGAUCGGUGCCCCGAACCCCGACCCCAACCAGUGGAGACUGGUGCCCCAUGCCGCCAUCCUCGACCCUCCGUCAGUCGCUCCACUGCCAACGACACGGCCGUCCGCCGCCGGUGACGACCGCCGCAUCGAGGCGCGCGGCGCGCCCCUGACCGAUGAAGAUCGACACCCCGAUCCAAGGCCCCAACCAGUUGAGACUGGCGCCCCACGCCGCCAUCCCCGAGCCCCCAUCAGUUGCUCCACCGCCCGCGACACGGCCGUCCACCGCCGGUGCUCCGUGCCCCGAUGACUGGUUCAGCAGCUGCAGUCCAUCACCACUCAUCAGCACCCAUCUUCUUCAACUCUGUUCGUCGGCUCGCUGCCUACUGCCCUCCUUCAUUUCUUCACAUCGCAGCUGAAGAGACAAUUGAAGAAUUUGGGGACAAGGUGAAGGGAAAGCACAAGGUCCAUGGUGGUGCCGAAAUUGAUUUGUUUGAUGUCAAGUACUAUGUUAUCAAGUACUAAGUGAUGGUUGUCUGCUGUUUGCUGCUUGUCGAUUCCAAUAUUCCAUGGGCUGUUGUUGCUUGUGGUCUUAUUACUUUGUGUCAAAUAUAAAUGGUGUUGCUUGUUGUCUUC